GGGUGUGCAGCACAGUGGUAGAGUGCUUGCUUGGUGCCCAGGAGGUCCUGGGUUCAAUCCCCAGUGCCUUCA
RNAcentral lists this transfer RNA (72 nucleotides) under Camelus bactrianus (Bactrian camel). It matches the Rfam family "tRNA". From Rfam's summary of the family: Transfer RNA (tRNA) molecules are approximately 80 nucleotides in length. Their secondary structure includes four short double-helical elements and three loops (D, anti-codon, and T loops). The record is from Rfam by way of RNAcentral. RNAcentral also lists the same sequence under 2 other names. Lineage: Eukaryota; Metazoa; Chordata; Mammalia; Artiodactyla; Camelidae.